GAUCAAAGACGUUUUAUGAGAUAUUGAUAUUGGAAGGUACAGAGAUCAAAAAGUAUAUGCAAAUUUAAUUGGCACUAUGGAUACUUGGGUUAAACUCAAUGCCAGCUCAGCCGGGAAGGAUAAACUUAUCAGAGUGCUGCAGUAUACGCUGAAGGUGGUGAAUCACUACCACCAGCAGAGGCAUACAAAUGCUGGCACACUUCAAACAUGGAAGCAGCUUGAGGGGUCUCUAAGCUCAUUCAGAAAGCUGCUGCGGAUGGGUAAGAGUGUCGAGGUGCUGCGCGGCACUUCACGCACCAUCCGCCUCUCGGACCCCGUCUACCGGGUGACGCUGACCAUUGGGAGGAUCGCCCAGUCCAUGUUCCUGUUCGCCGACCACCUGCUCUGGCUGUCCCGGGCCGGAGUGAUCAGCAUUGACGUGAAGAAGUGGGAGCAAAUCUUCUACCGCUGCUGGCUCUACAGCAUCACGAUGAACCUGUGCCGCGACGUGUACGACCUGUGGCGGGCGGCCGAGCUGUACGCCGAACACGGCAUGCCUCCGGCGCCGCGCCGCCGCCUUCUGCCCGAGCUGCGCGCCCGGCCGCUGGCGCUCAUCCUCGACCGGCACAGAGACCUGGCGGUGGACUUUGUCAAGAACGCGUUCGACCUGAUGCUGCCGCUGGCGGCUCUCGGCCACGCGCCGCUGUCGAGCGGCGCCGUGGGCGUCUGCGGCGUCGUCUCCAGCGCGCUGGCGCUCUGGACGGUGGUGGACCCGAGCCUGACGCUGCGGCCGAGCUGAGCGGACCGGCCGAGGGAGAAGGGGAAGAGGGCGUAUCGCGGAGAGUGGCGGAAGGUUUCGCCGGGCAGGUCAGUCCAGGGAUGACAGAGGGACUAGUGGGUUCAUAAGUGAGCUUGCGGAGUAGAUAUGUUAGUGAGUCCAACCUGUUCCAGUGUGCUAACGUUUAUAGCUCCCUAGGUUUGAUGGGAAUUUUGUUAUUAGUCAUUUGAUGUUUGAAUCAAAAUAUGAAAAUGCUCCGAGACGCCGCUUACCCUUGCCAGCAGAGUGCAGAGGAGAGGGUCCUUCCGUGAUAAUCGUAUGCAUGUCGAUUGUGUCAUGAUCAAUGGUGGUCUGUGUUCCGUACCGGUAGCUGGACAAACAGUCGAACUGCGAAUAGUGCAUUGUUAGCACUACGGGCAUUGAUGGACCACAUGUCAGUCACAUAGCGAUAUGUUUGAAGUCCUUUGAAGAGCUGUGAAUGAAUGUGUGCACAUUUAACGGCCCAUUCAAGCCGAAUUACUCAGUGGGAGCCUAGCGUUUAUGAGUCCAUGCGUGUAUUUGGGUACUUGCUAGUUGCUUCUUUGUACAGAGUAGGCAUUUGAGCACUGUUAAGCACAGAUGUUUGCAGCUAUGGACGCCCGAGAAAGGUGAUUGAUGACUUGUCCGCGAUAGCACAAGCAUUGCUACAGCCGCGUCACUGGGGGAAUGGCGAUUUUUUAAGGUUGUUCGCAAGUGAUGGCUGCUGUUGAGCAAUUACAAUAGCUUCUGCGACGUAAGUCACUUCUGCGAUUUUGUAUGCCUAUUAGAACGAUAUGGGACUGAUAAGUGAUAUACCGGCGUCAUUUCCGCUUUUAGAGUGGUCUUUGAUAAAACAACUGAUUCAUACUUGCAAUACAUAUAUUUUAUCAAAAAAA
Molecule: unclassified non-coding RNA, 1671 nt
Filed under: Amphibalanus amphitrite
Lineage: Eukaryota; Metazoa; Arthropoda; Thecostraca; Balanomorpha; Balanidae
Description: peroxisomal membrane protein 11B-like, transcript variant X4
Source: RNAcentral